GCAGCACUAGCUCAGUUGGAUAGAGCAUCCGCCUUCUAAGCGGAUGGCCACUGGUUCGAGUCCAGUGUGCUGCACCA
This 77-nucleotide transfer RNA is filed under the name Pseudomonas viridiflava. RNAcentral describes it as "tRNA-Arg". It matches the Rfam family "tRNA". Rfam says of the family: Transfer RNA (tRNA) molecules are approximately 80 nucleotides in length. Their secondary structure includes four short double-helical elements and three loops (D, anti-codon, and T loops). Lineage: Bacteria; Pseudomonadati; Pseudomonadota; Gammaproteobacteria; Pseudomonadales; Pseudomonadaceae. RNAcentral also lists the same sequence under 1 other name. The record is from RNAcentral.